RNAcentral lists this long non-coding RNA (6299 nucleotides) under Solanum tuberosum (potato). RNAcentral describes it as "long non-coding RNA (STUB_LNC007950)". Lineage: Eukaryota; Viridiplantae; Streptophyta; Magnoliopsida; Solanales; Solanaceae. The record is from RNAcentral.
CCACUUUCAUAAACCCUGAAGGUACAUUGGUUGAAGCUUUUUUAUUAUAAGCUUCCCUGUACAAGUAAAUUUGCUAUUUUUGACAUUAUGUACGCACGGCUGAAUGCUGAUGAAUCAAAUGGUGGUGACUCGUGAGUGAUCCUGACAUUUUUUGGCUCAUCUUCAUGAGGUUCGUUUUAUACAAUUUUAGCCCUUCAGUUUCAAGUGACAAAGAUGUAGGAUUAAAUGUACUUAAGAUUGUUGUAAUUGAAGCUCUCAAGCAUUAGUUUAGUUUUGAGUUAUUUCUGAAUAUAUUUUCUAGAGAGUUGUUUUAUCUGUUGAUUCAAUUCUGAUGAGGAUAUCUUUUAUUGUAUAGUCACAGGCUGCUGUUGUGUGUGUUGCUUAUCUUCUAUGAUCGAAUUUGAUUGUCAAUUAAUUUUCUAUACAAUUAAUAGAUAAAAUUGGUGUUUAUAUCUCUUUAAAGAUUUCUUUCUUCCCUAAAUAUUUCUUGUGGAAUAUCAGUAAUAGUGCUUUGUGGAAUUUGCAAGAAACUAAUGAAGCACCUCAAAUGAUGCUAAAUUAUAUAUAUAUGACACUGAUAUUCUGCUUCCAAUUAUCUAUAUCCAAGUUCCAUUUGUUCCCUUUGAUUUUCCUUUCAGUAUCUCCACCAUUUGCUCUUUGUUUGUUAUAAGGUUCUUCUGUGUUAUUUUUGGUUUUCUUCUAUUUACGUUUUACAUAAUGUGAGUUUUGAGCAAAAAGCUAUAUCAUAAUGACUUGUGUUUAUUUAAUUAUUUGUUGUGGUCAUACUGAAAGUCAAUCACUUCAUCUGUCUCUUUUUGUGAUCUGAAGGCCUGAAAAUCACACUAAAGACCGAUGACAUUAAAAGAGAAUUCAUGAAAUUAAAAAUUUAACAUUAAAGGAUAAAAAUUUAGAUGUGCUGUCAUUUAAUUUUGUUUUUAGAAUCUGUUGUAUAAUUCCCUUUCUUAAAUUACCUGAAUUGUUCUGCAAGUGAAGAUUAUUUUUUUUGGUAACAACUGUAAAAUAUUACCAUAACCACCCAAGAACGGAUACAAAUAAAGAGCACCUAAUUCUGAUAAUAGAGAACAGGCCUCCUACCAAACAUAAAACCAAUUACAUAACAAAUGUUGAAUAAAGUGUCUACAAUUUUUUUGCUUUCUUUGAACUACUAAGUGUAAUCUUUCAAUAAUUUCCUUAUUUAUCUGUGUUACUGCCUCCUUCGUAUGUACACGUUUGUCUGUAAACCUCCUCCAAUUCCUGGCACGCCAAGUGUGGUAUAUGAUAUCUCCACAGAUAGCUGCCAUGAUCUCCUUUUUAAUUGCUUCCGGUGAUUACCUUUUAUGUUUUCCAGGACCUUCAUGAUACUAAUAAUCUGCACUGGUAUUUCAGUCCAAUGGUGCAUAACUUGCCACACAGCUAAUGUCCAUUUGCAUUUCUCGAAUAGGUGAACAUUAGUCUCCAUUACUUUCUCAUCACAUAAACAACAUUCAGUGUCAUCAACCUGAAUAUUCAAUCUCAGCUUUCUCUCCUGUGUAAGAUUUCUAUUUCACUAGAGUAUUAUAUUAUUAAAAGAAUUAAUUAUUGAACAUAAAUUUGCUUCAUAGUCAAAGCACACCAGUAAAAAAGAGUUGGUAUCAAUGAAAACAAAAUUAUGACAUGAGAGAUUAGUACACUUGACUUGAACACAAGUUUCAAAAUAAACCAUGAAGAGAAAACAAAUAAAUAAUUAGCCAUCUUUAUAAUUCUAUACACAAAAUGGAGAUGAAAGUGUAGGUCAGAAAGACCACAGAUUACAGAACUAUGAUCACCAGUCAUCUUUCCUUCUCCGUUGGAUGGCAUUUUAGUUCACUUUUCUCCAUUCUUUUUACACACCUUAUCUCAGAAUCUCCCAUCAAAUUUAACUCUGUGUGUGUGGCGUACCUAGAAUCUAACAACAUCUUUUGACUAAAUACCAUCCUAAAUUACCCCUACAUUUAUACAGUGUGCUAUUGGAAGUUACUCACUUUAGGAAACAUGAAGUUCUUAUCUUUAAUCUAUCACUUACUUGGUUGUUUAAGUUAUUUUUAUUUUAUUGCACGGAGAGUUACUUACAUUUUGAAAAAUGUUGUUCUAAGCUUUUAACAAUUAUUUAUUUGGCGUUCACACUUUGUGAGUGCUCUCUUCAAAACGUGGAAAAAAUAUAUCCUAAAUAGCUUCUACGACAAUCGCAGUAAUGCAUCAAACAAUGACACUGUAGUUUAUCUGAAUUACUCACCUAAUCAAUUAAGAUCUUGACACACUUUCUACAGAUCUUUUAAGAUCCUAGAUGAAACAUAAGUAUCUUUAAAGUUAUAGCUCGCUAAUUACUAUUUUUUGCACUCAGUUUUAGAAUUCUUUAGUUGACGAUUGGUGUUUACUUGAUUUUUGAAGGUAUUUCAAAACAUCUCCCUGUUAUGUGUUUCCGGGAUAGCAAAGGUUGGCUACUAAGCUAGGUAUUGUAUCUCCAACACAAUUGAAAUGAUAGAUCAAGUUAGCUCUGCAAUAUUUACUAAAACUGUAAGUUCUUGAAAUCUUUUGGAUAUCUUUCAUCUUAAAUAUCAGUAGAUUUUCUUAAAUAUUUGUUCAAGGUUCUUCAUUCCUCCAACUGGCCGUGGUUUAGUGUUUAUGUGAUUAUACUUGUUGUCAUUGUUACAGUUCCUUACAUAUAUGCUCCGCAUUAUUUUGUUAAAAGUGUAGAUAGGUAAUAUAAUUAUUCUACAUCACUAUAGUGUAAGAGUAAGUAUGCUAACCAAAAGGGCACUGUGUGUAAUUGCAUCAGGGGCGUAAUAAUAAAAAUUUCUAUUAAUUCUAUUGUAUAGAAACAUGAAGAGCUAGGACGACCAAUGGCAUAACCAUAAAUAUACUCAAUAUUGAAGGGUAAUAUGGUCAUUAUACAACACUAAUUUUUUAGCAAUUAACAUGCGCCUCUUCUAUUUUCCUUCUAGAACAUUCUCUCUCUUCCUUCCAUGUUGCAAUUAAGAGAUGACUCAAGAAAAAGAAUUGGUAAAUUGAUCGGAUCUUUCCUAAACCUCCUCUCUCUAGACCUAAUAUGUGAUCUAUCUAUUUCAUAGACUUCUCUUGUGAUGCUACUAAAGCAGGAAUGGGUGGUGUAAAUGGUUUAAUUAUCGGUAUAUAUAAUCGGUUUAUACACAUAGGUAGCUUUAUGAACUUUAAAAAGGAUAUCUAGAAGGAUUGUAACAUGUCAUAUUCUACAAUUCUGAAGAGUAAGCAUGAUGAAUCUUUCUGAUUGAUAAAAAUGGCCUCGAGAGGGAUUGUAACAUGUCAUAUUUUUACAAUUGUGAAGAAUAAGCAUAUGUUGGAAUAUGAAUUUCAUAAAUUGUUGUUUCUUUCUGAUGAAUGUAGUAUAAUUGGUGCAGGUGAUUGACGGUUUAGUUCCAUUAACAGAGAUGUUCAAUUGCGUUAGUAAAACUUGAAAGGGAAUGACAAAGGAGCAUGCAUCGUACAUUAUGCAAUUAGGCAAGUUUGAUGUUGUCCCUCAACACAUUCAAAUCAGCUUGCCAAAAAGGAAGAAGCAGCAGUUGUUUAGUCAGUCAGCUUUCAAAUUUGGAUCCACGAACUUAAAAAUAGGUAUUUUUACUCAAUGAAGGGACUGCUCUUUGACAUCAUCUUGUCUUUUGGUGUUGCAAUUUCAGUUUGAUCUUUUAUCUUAAUUUUAGCCAUUAUUUUAAGAUUCUCUUUACAUUUUCCAACAUGGUUGAAGCGGUUAUAUUUUGACUAGCUUUCACUGCCAUAAAUUUCAUAGAGGCAAGUCAACAUGCCGGUUUUAUACUGAUUUGUUGUGAAUUUCAACCUCUUACUUGUUCUCCUAUGCUUGGUGGUUAAUUUCUUUAAAUUUUUUUACUCAACGGUUAGUCUCCCGUGGUUUCCACUCCAAGUCCACCAAUCCAACGUAAACUUGCCAACAUCGUAUUUCAUGAAACUUGUGUGCACUUACCAAACUACCCUGCCCCUUCGCCCUCAACCAUUAGCUCCCACGCCUAAUAACAAGGACAUCAUAGUAAAAUCACUUUGUUACCGUAAUCGAACAGACCCCAUAGAAUAUAGUUGGACUGGUUAUUUUUUUCUUUAACUUCUUUAAUAAUAAUUAAGAAUCUACGUUAACACUUGACUAAUAGUAUAUGAGUUCCCUCUGUUCUUUUUUCCAUCAUAAAGUUUAAUUUUUCUUUGUUGUUUCUAAAUUAAAACUUGUAUUCUUUUAAUUCCAAUCUUUUAACCUUUUAGGUGAACCAAGAAAAGAAAAAAUGUUGGAUGCAUAAAAGAAUAACAAGUUUUAUUCCCAAUGGUAAGAGUGACAAUUUGUUAGGGUUGGUUUUUUUUUUCCAUAAAUAUUUUUCAGAAUGUAGAAAAUUAUUUUUCUUGUUAAUUUUGCUUAUGUUGUGGGAAUUUUCUGAUAUAACAAGAGUCUACAAUCAGGCAGACGAAAACUCAAAUCGAAAUGAUCAGGAAGUAGAGAUAUGCAAUGUAGAAAUAUUUGAAGAAUGAUAUAACUGGCGUCUUAAAAUAUGGAUUGGAUGUCAACCCCUGCCACAGGGUAAUUUUCUUUUGUUGGAAUUGAUCCAUCUAUAUAUUCUGUUAUUCUAUCACUUAGUUUUAUUUUAUAUGGCCUCUUUCUUUAUACUGAUUUGUUGUGAGUUUUAGUUUUAUUUUAUAUGGCCUGUUUCUUUAUACUGAUUUGUUUGAGUUUCAACCUCUUACGUGUUCUCCUAUUCUUUGGUGGUUAAUUCCAUUAGUUUUUUUGUAUGUGCAUGUUAGUUCGUGCACAUAUCUUUUCUUCUACUUGAUUUUCCUAAAACCAAAUACACGCUAUCACUAAGAAUAAUGGUCUAUUGAGUUCUCUUCCUCUCAAUGCAACUGCAUUGCUUUGGCUAAUUUAUAUGAGCUUAAGGAAAAAGAAAAUGUAGAGUGAAUUUUUUAAAAAGAAAAUGUAGAGUGAUUUUUUUUUCUUUCUUUCUUUUCGGUGAUUACUAAGAAAGGCUAAUGAUCUAAAUUUAUGCAUUCUCUAAGUUGGUCUUUUUCAUAAGCACCAUGCCAAGUCAAAAAGGGCCACAUAAAAUAGGAUAGAUGGAGUAUAAUUUUUUUUUAAAUGUACUUCCUAUCAUAAAUAGUUAUUUUUGUAAUGAAAAAAUUAACAUAAAAUGUAUUCUUGAUAAAAAUAUUAGCCCCCCCCCCCUCCCCCUAAAAUUGAGGGCCCAAGGCAUGUGCUUACUUUUUAUAGCAUAGAGUUUACCAUGUGUUGCAAUUCUCAAGCCUUAAUUAGCUCUUGAAGAAGGUUAGCAACCACAUAUAUCUUCCUUCUCAGAAAUAUUUAUGCACAAAUAUACUUAUAUACGUGCAAGAUGUUUUAACAGUAAAUAUUGAAAUAUAGCGCAAGACUCUUCUCAUAUGAGCCAGACAUGUUUCAAUAUUCUAUGUGCUAAGAGGAUUCUUCCAUGAUUGUGAUUUUGAAUUUUGCAAUGUGAAUGACAGGAAUACUUUCUUGAAUCUAUUUCCUUAGGGCAUUGAGUGAAGGUUGUUCCUUUCAAAUUCACAUAUAACUUGGUAUAUGUUAAUUCUUUGUGGUUAUCUUCAGUAUUUUAUUUUAAAUUGACAUAUAACUUGUAAUAUGCUGGUUCUUUGUGAUUGUCUUCACUAUUUUAUUUUUACUUUUGCUUUAAGUGCUACUAUUUUUAUGAACAGUUGUUAUUUCGGAACUUUUAUUCCUUUCCUUGAGAUAUUAAAGCUGGAGUAUAUAGUUCGUGCUGAGUGAAGGAAAUUUUGCAUCUUAUCAAGACAAUUGCAAACACUCGAGGCAUCAAUGGAUUUAUGAAACGGAAUUUUAUUACUCUACAUGCAGCUCCAUUUAAGGAUACCAACUUCUAUUCUUUUGAAAAAUACAGAGAGCAUCUACUCAAAUUUACUACUAAUGAUUCAAGGCAUCACUAGAUUUUGUAAAAUGAAUUUUGUCAUAUUCUAUGAUUAGCUCUAUGUAAGUCUAUCCACUUCUAUUUUCUUAUGAUAAAUAUUGAAAAGUAUUUAGAAGAUAGUUGUCUGCAAUGUAAAGUUAUUUGUGGAAAGGGAGAAAUUAGUUGUAUUAUUGCACUUUGAAGUUCAUUUGUAUAACUUAUGCAAUGAUCUAUUAGCUUUUACAAUAUAUACUCUUAUCCGAGUAACUAUGCAAAGUACAUACCACUUGAAAAUGCUAAAUGUUGGGCCCGUGUAAGCACGGGCUAUAUCCAUCUAGUCUAUCUAUUAUAUAGAAACGUGAUGAGAGGACGACCACUGGC